This 907-nucleotide ribosomal RNA is filed under the name Apiospora longistroma. Its description in RNAcentral is "eukaryotic LSU rRNA". It matches the Rfam family "Eukaryotic large subunit ribosomal RNA", at positions 33 to 966 of the family's 3401-position model. Lineage: Eukaryota; Fungi; Ascomycota; Sordariomycetes; Amphisphaeriales; Apiosporaceae. The record is from RNAcentral.
CUUAAGCAUAUCAAUAAGCGGAGGAAAAGAAACCAACAGGGAUUCCCCUAGUAACGGCGAGUGAAGCGGGAACAGCUCAAAUUUGAAAUCUGGCCCUUGGGUCCGAGUUGUAAUUUGCAGAGGAUGCUUUUGGUGCGGUGCCUUCCGAGUUCCCUGGAACGGGACGCCUUAGAGGGUGAGAGCCCCGUACGGUUGGACACCAAGCCUAUGUAAAGCUCCUUCGACGAGUCGAGUAGUUUGGGAAUGCUGCUCAAAAUGGGAGGUAUAUUUCUUCUAAAGCUAAAUAUUGGCCAGAGACCGAUAGCGCACAAGUAGAGUGAUCGAAAGAUGAAAAGCACUUUGAAAAGAGGGUUAAAUAGCACGUGAAAUUGUUGAAAGGGAAGGAUUUAUGACCAGACUUUUUCUAGGGGGAUCAUCCGGUGUUCUCACCGGUGCACUUCCCCUAGUUGAGGCCAGCAUCGGUUUCUGUCGGGGGAUAAAAGCUUCAGGAAUGUGGCUCCCUCCGGGGAGUGUUAUAGCCUGUUGCAUAAUACCCUGACGGGGACCGAGGUUCGCGCAUUGCAAGGAUGCUGGCGUAAUGGUUAUUAAUCACCCGUCUUGAAACACGGACCAAGGAGUCGAACAUUUGUGCGAGUGUUUGGGUGUUAAACCCUCACGCGUAAUGAAAGUGAACGGAGGUGAGAGCCUUUAGGGGUGCAUCAUCGACCGAUCCUGAUGUCUUCGGAUGGAUUUGAGUAAGAGCAUUAAUGUUCGGACCCGAAAGAUGGUGAACUAUGCGUGGAUAGGGUGAAGCCAGAGGAAACUCUGGUGGAGGCUCGCAGCGGUUCUGACGUGCAAAUCGAUCGUCAAAUCUGCGCAUGGGGGCGAAAGACUAAUCGAACCAUCUAGUAGCUGGUUACCGCCGAAG